GAUCCGCCCCUGAAUUAUAAUAGGCCGUGUUUUGAAGGAUGCAUUUGGCACUGGAGAGUAUGUAGGGAUAAAAAAAAAAAGCUUGCACUGCAGGUUGGAUACUACCUACCAAUAGAAAUGUUUUAUGUAUAAUGUUCAGACAAACCACCCACUCCAAUCCUCAAACGCACCCCAGAAACCAUAGGAAAAAGAAUAUCGCAACGCAACUGCCAAACAUUCAGGAAGCUUUCGACUGAACUGCACCCAUAUAGCCUACAAUGUCGUAUGACGGCUUGCGACAAAUGGACCCUAUUAAAGCUGCAUUUACACCCGAUCCGAAUCUAUUAGCCAUACCACCAGGAGCGGAUCCAGUAGGGAUGCACUGUGGAACGUCCCCUUCCCCUUUUUCCACUAUAUUUUAAAAAUUUAAAUGCAUACAUUUUAUGUGCGCCUACUUAUUUAUUCUGAAACUGCUGUGCCCUUCCCCCACCCCCUCUCGUUUGAAAAAUUCGGAUUCGGUGUGAAUCUACCUUAGGACAACAUGAUUAUUGUUAGUUUCUCCAAAAUUUGGGUAUACUAAAUAGGGUAACACCUCUAUUAUUGGAAAAUUGGUCCCGAAAGCUGUCCCCUUAAUUCACGGGCUCCAAAGGAAAAAUAUUUUGAUAUGUUUUCUAAGACAAAAAUGCAUAUUUGACUGAAAAAUUUUAUUUAAAAAACCGGGGAACCUUUCUGUAAUCUGUAUUUCAUUAACCACUUACAAGUUUUGCAUCAAAAUGCUGUUUGUGUCUUAGAAAUAAAAAUUGUUUAGCAUAUAGAAAAUUUUUUUCCUCCAGAGUCUGACUUCAAUAGGGAUUCUACUAACAUAAAAGGACAAUAUUUUUUUUUUCAUAGUGUUAGUUUUUCACUUAAAUGUUUUAUUCAAUAUCUUUUACUUAUGUUUCCAAUCAAUAUGUUUUUUUUUUAAAUGUUUUCAUAUAAUUUCGAUGUGUUUUGUAUGCACUUGUGUAUAUUUGUACACGCCUUUGGAACUUCAAAUAAUAAAUAAUCUCUAUUUAUACCCUUGGACAAAUAAUAUUAAUUCCAAUAAUUAAAGUUGUUCUUAUGGCCAUUUUCACCAAAUAUCUUGGACGCACUCACCUGAGCACGCAGAUGUAAAUUUUGAAAUUCCAGAGAAUCGCGUGAUAGAUAUGGUGGAGAAGCUGUAUUUUAGCAAAAAGACGCCAUUGUUUUAUGAUUAUAGUGCAUAUUUGUGAUAAGUAUCAACAAAACCACUAAGAGCGGCAUGUUGGUACAGUCAGCCAGAAUGUUAAGAAGCAAUGGUGUUCAGCUUCAGGAGUAGUAAAAUUGUGAGAGUGGAUAUCAACAAGAAUACAGUGUGCUGCUAUGGAGAAAUGCAGACCAGGAAAGAUUUGAUAUCCAGAUCCGUAAGUGCAAUUGGGGAUUGCAGGAAACAACCCACUGAUACCACCCGACAGGCUCUGAGAUGGAAUCCGCAUGGAAAGAGAAGUCGAGGUCAUCCCAGAAAUAGCUGGAGAAGAACCGUGAACAAUGAGACGAAGCGGGCUGGCUACUGCUGGAAGCAGAUUGAAACAAUAGCUCAAAACAGAGUGUGAUGGCGUGUUAUUUCCAAGGACCUAUGCUCCACAGAGAGCAAUAGUGAAUAAAGUCAACAUCAGAACAUGAUCAAUGCUGGGUGAUAAGUAUUUUGAAGUUUUGUUGGAACAUUUUGCUGAAUAGUGCAAUUUCAGUACUGUAUGUGCAAGAUAAAAUACAGCAUCAGAACAUGAUCAAUGCUGGGUGAUAAGUAUUUUGAAGUUUUGUUGGAACAUUUUGCUGAAUAGUGCAAUAACGUAAUUCCUGGUAUAAGGAAGCCUAUGAAAUCAUAACGGUUUGACAAGAUGCAGCAUCAAAGUUGAAAGACAGGAAAAGUGCAGCAGCAGCACAAGGCAACACCGAGACUGCGAAAGUUCUAAUAUGAGUUUUUGAGGACAGACAAAUUUCUCUGCAGGUUACAAGUAACAAAGAAUUAACAUUACUAUGCAGCAUCACAGUUACAAGAGAGGAAAAGUAUUGCAGCAAAGAAGACAACAAAAUAUCAACAUUUUAACUUUAGUUAAUUUACUGUAAUUUGCGGUCCCUAAAAUUUUGGAAGACAGAAAAGAAUACUGAAGUUUAGUUUGAACAUGUUGCUGAAUACUGCGACAGCCUAAUUCUGGUGAAUGCGGCGAUUGUAUUAUUUAUGAAACAUUAUUGCAGCACCAAGACAACUUGCUUCAUUAUCGAAAACUGAUUAUAUUGUACACAGACAUGAAUUUACAAUCUUAUUACAGAUCAAAAAGAAACCAGAGAACUAUUAUAAGAAAUUAACAUAGGCUAGCAAAGCAUUUAAUUUUCUGUAUAAUGAAUUGGUGAAAGAAAACAAACAGCGAUUGUAUUAUUUAUGAAAGACACCACUUGCUUCAUUCUUGAAAACUGAUUAUAUUGAAUUGAAGACAUGAAUCUUAUUACAAAUCAAAGAGAAACCAAAAAACUACUAUAAUUUAAAG
Long non-coding RNA from Anneissia japonica, 2525 nucleotides. RefSeq lists it as uncharacterized. The transcript is spliced from 8 exons. The record is from RefSeq and is a predicted model, not a curated record. Lineage: Eukaryota; Metazoa; Echinodermata; Crinoidea; Comatulida; Comatulidae.